GUGUGUGUCUGGGGUGCUGUGUGUGUCUGGGUGCUGUGUGUGUCUGGGUGCUGUGUGUGUCUGGGUGGUGUGUGUGUCUGGGGGUGCUGUGUGUGCCUGGGUGCUGUGUCUGGGUGCUGUGUGUGUCUGGGGGGUGCUGUGUCUGGGUGUUGUGUGUGUCUGGGUGCUGUGUGUGUCUGGGUGCUGUGUAUGGGUGCUGUGUGUGUCUGGGGGGUGCUGUGUCUGGGUGUUGUGUGUGUCUGGGUGCUGUGUGUGUCUGUGGGUGCUGUGUGUG
Molecule: long non-coding RNA, 274 nt
Filed under: Pelobates cultripes (western spadefoot toad)
Lineage: Eukaryota; Metazoa; Chordata; Amphibia; Anura; Pelobatidae
Source: RNAcentral